GACGUAGGGCGCGAGCGUUGUCCGGAUUUAUUGGGCGUAAAGAGCGUGUAGGCGGCCAGACAGGUCCGUUGUGAAAACUCGAGGCUCAACCUCGAGAUGUCGAUGGAAACCGUCUGGCUAGAGUCCGGAAGAGGAGUGUGGAAUUCCUGGUGUAGCGGUGAAAUGCGCAGAUAUCAGGAAGAACACCUAUGGCGAAGGCAGCACUCUGGGACGGUACUGACGCUGAGACGCGAAAGCGUGGGGAGCGAACAGG
Molecule: ribosomal RNA, 253 nt
Filed under: uncultured bacterium
Lineage: Bacteria
Description: partial 16S ribosomal RNA
Rfam family: Bacterial small subunit ribosomal RNA
Source: RNAcentral